CCUACGGGUUGCAGCAGUAGGGAAUCUUCCGCAAUGGACGAAAGUCUGACGGAGCAACGCCGCGUGAGUGAUGAAGGCUUUCGGGUCGUAAAACUCUGUUGUUAGGGAAGAACAAGUGCUAGUUGAAUAAGCUGGCACCUUGACGGUACCUAACCAGAAAGCCACGGCUAACUACGUGCCAGCAGCCGCGGUAAUACGUAGGUGGCAAGCGUUAUCCGGAAUUAUUGGGCGUAAAGCGCGCGCAGGUGGUUUCUUAAGUCUGAUGUGAAAGCCCACGGCUCAACCGUGGAGGGUCAUUGGAAACUGGGAGACUUGAGUGCAGAAGAGGAAAGUGGAAUUCCAUGUGUAGCGGUGAAAUGCGUAGAGAUCUGGAGGAAUACCGGUGGCGAAGGCGGCCCCCUGGACGAAGACUGACGCUCAGGUGCGAAAGCGUGGGGAGCAAACAGGAUUAGAUACCCCCGUAGUC
RNAcentral lists this ribosomal RNA (466 nucleotides) under uncultured bacterium. RNAcentral describes it as "bacterial SSU rRNA". It matches the Rfam family "Bacterial small subunit ribosomal RNA", at positions 338 to 795 of the family's 1533-position model. The record is from RNAcentral.